RNAcentral lists this ribosomal RNA (250 nucleotides) under uncultured bacterium. Its description in RNAcentral is "partial 16S ribosomal RNA". It matches the Rfam family "Bacterial small subunit ribosomal RNA", at positions 524 to 773 of the family's 1533-position model. The record is from RNAcentral.
UACAGAGGGUGCAAGCGUUAAUCGGAAUUACUGGGCGUAAAGCGCGCGUAGGUGGUUCGUUAAGUUGGAUGUGAAAUCCCCGGGCUCAACCUGGGAACUGCAUCCAAAACUGGCGAGCUAGAGUAGGGCAGAGGGUGGUGGAAUUUCCUGUGUAGCGGUGAAAUGCGUAGAUAUAGGAAGGAACACCAGUGGCGAAGGCGACCACCUGGGCUCAUACUGACACUGAGGUGCGAAAGCGUGGGGAGCAAAC